UAUAUCUGGGUAUACACCGUGGCAGUGUAGGUGGAAGUGGCAGCGGUGGAGUAGGAGGAGGUAGCCAACACUGUUUUUUAUUUAUUUGUAUUUUUUUUAAUUGGGGUUGCCCCAAAAUAUUGGGACAUAUAAAAAAAGAAAAAAAAGAAUAAGUGCACUUGAGUAUAACAAUUGCUGGGUGAGGCCUGUAUAAAUGUCUAUUCUGCACAAGGUACAGACAAGUCUGGUGGGAUCCAUACCUGGUUCAUUUUAAUAAACGUGAGCUUGUGUGAUAACCAAUCACACGACCCCGUGACGGCGACAACACAUUUGGAUGUCUGCCCUAUCAACUUUCAAUGCUAUUUUCCGCGCCUACCAUGGUGACCACGGGUAACGGGGAAUCAGGGUUCGAUUCCAGAGAGAGAGCCUGAGAAACGGCUACCACAUGCGAGGAAGGCAGCAGGCGCGCAAAUUACACACUCCUGACGCGGGGAGGUAGUGACGACAAAUAACAAUACACUACUCUUUCGAGGCCCUGUAAUUGUAAUUAGUCCACUUUAAAUCCUUUAACUUGGAUCAAUUGGAGGGCAAGUCUAGUGCAGAGCGACUGACCCGUGCAUGCUGCAGCUGAAACUCCACU
Non-coding RNA from Pelobates cultripes (western spadefoot toad), 619 nucleotides. NCBI's taxonomy places the organism in Eukaryota, Metazoa, Chordata, Amphibia, Anura, Pelobatidae. The record is from the annotation of a GenBank genome assembly.